UUUUUAAAUUGCUGUGGUAUUUUGACUAUACAAAGGUAUUGAAAUAAGAUUUUAAUUGAAUGCUAAGAGAAUGGAAUUUCAGAAAAAAACUUUUUUCAAGUUAAAAAUUGAAAUUUUUUUAAUUUGUGCAGAAACAAUUAUUAAUAUUAAGGACAAGAAGACCCUAUGAAUUUAUAAAUUUUAUUUAAUAUGUAACUACUAUUAAAAAAAUUUUAGCUGGGGCGGCGGAAAAAUAUUUAAAACUUUUUUAAAAUAAAAUGACCCAUUAUUAAUGAUUAUAUGUUAAAUACUCUAGGGAAAACAGCGUAAA
RNAcentral lists this ribosomal RNA (310 nucleotides) under Rhipicephalus sanguineus (brown dog tick). Its description in RNAcentral is "partial 16S ribosomal RNA". The record is from RNAcentral. Lineage: Eukaryota; Metazoa; Arthropoda; Arachnida; Ixodida; Ixodidae.